UUUUAUAGGCACGGGUGCUCGGUGAAAUUCCGGGCUGAGAUGCAGCACAGCUGUAACCGUUGAACCUGAUCCGGAUAAUGCCGGCGCUAGGGAGGAAAAAAUGACUACCA
This 110-nucleotide non-coding RNA is filed under the name Corynebacterium callunae. RNAcentral describes it as "TPP sequence". It matches the Rfam family "TPP riboswitch aptamer (THI element)". From Rfam's summary of the family: Vitamin B(1) in its active form thiamin pyrophosphate (TPP) is an essential coenzyme that is synthesised by coupling of pyrimidine and thiazole moieties in bacteria. The previously detected thiamin-regulatory element, thi box was extended, resulting in a new, highly conserved RNA secondary structure, the THI element, which is widely distributed in eubacteria and also occurs in some archaea. The record is from RNAcentral. Lineage: Bacteria; Bacillati; Actinomycetota; Actinomycetes; Mycobacteriales; Corynebacteriaceae.